Molecule: ribosomal RNA, 497 nt
Filed under: uncultured bacterium
Lineage: Bacteria
Description: partial 16S ribosomal RNA
Rfam family: Bacterial small subunit ribosomal RNA
Source: RNAcentral
GAUGAACGCUAGCGGCGUGCCUAAUACAUGCCAGUCGAGCGAACGGACGAGAAGCUUGCUUCUCUGAUGUUAGCGGCGGACGGGUGAGUAACACGUGGAUAACCUACCUAUAAGACUGGGAUAACUUCGGGAAACCGGAGCUAAUACCGGAUAAUAUUUUGAACCGCAUGGUUCAAAAGUGAAAGACGGUCUUGCUGUCACUUAUAGAUGGAUCCGCGCUGCAUUAGCUAGUUGGUAAGGUAACGGCUUACCAAGGCAACGAUGCAUAGCCGACCUGAGAGGGUGAUCGGCCACACUGGAACUGAGACACGGUCCAGACUCCUACGGGAGGCAGCAGUAGGGAAUCUUCCGCAAUGGGCGAAAGCCUGACGGAGCAACGCCGCGUGAGUGAUGAAGGUCUUCGGAUCGUAAAACUCUGUUAUUAGGGAAGAACAUAUGUGUAAGUAACUGUGCACAUCUUGACGGUACCUAAUCAGAAAGCCACGGCUAACUACGUG